GCCUCUUGAUUAAACCAUAAGAGGUCUAGCCUGCCCAGUGACAUUGUUUAACGGCCGCGGUAUCCUAACCGUGCGAAGGUAGCGUAAUCACUUGUCCUUUAAAUGAGGACUAGUAUGAAUGGCCCCACGAAAGCUAUACUGUCUCCUUUUUCUAAUCAGUUAAACUAAUCUUCCCGUGAAGAAGCGGGAAUAAACAUAUAAGACGAGAAGACCCUAUGGAGCUUUAAACAAUUGAAACACUUGUAUUUCUCAUUAUACUUCAGAAACCUACACUUAAUCUCACAUUUUGUUUCCAGUUUUAGGUUGGGGUGACCACGGAGAAAAAAUCAACCUCCACGCUGAAAGGGCCUUACCUCUAAACAAAAAGCUACACCUUUAGGUAUUAACACAUUAACACAAAUUGACCCAAUUAAUUGAUCAACGAACCAAGUUACCCUAGGGAUAACAGCGCAAUCCAUUUCAAGAGCUCUUAUCGACAAAUGGGUUUACGACCUCGAUGUUGGAUCAGGGUAUCCUAGUGGUGCAGCCGCUGCUAAUGGUUCGUUUGUUCAACGAUUAAAACCCU
This 565-nucleotide ribosomal RNA is filed under the name Anomaloglossus sp. A PJK-2012. RNAcentral's name for it is "partial 16S ribosomal RNA". It matches the Rfam family "Bacterial large subunit ribosomal RNA", at positions 1816 to 2597 of the family's 2925-position model. Lineage: Eukaryota; Metazoa; Chordata; Amphibia; Anura; Aromobatidae. The record is from RNAcentral.